GGUUAAGUUAGAAAGGGCGCACGGUGAAUGCCUUGGCACUAGGAGCCGAUGAAGGACGGGACUAACACCGAUAUGCUUCGGGGAGCUGUAAGUGAGCUUUGAUCCGGAGAUUUCCGAAUGGGGAAACCCACUGUUCGUAAUGGAACAGUAUCUUUAUCUGAAUACAUAGGAUAUUGAAGGCAGACCCGGGGAACUGAAACAUCUAAGUACCCGGAGGAAGAGAAAGCAAAUGCGAUUUCCUGAGUAGCGGCGAGCGAAACGGAAUUAGCCCAAACCAAGAGGCUUGCCUCUUGGGGUUGUAGGACACUCUAUACGGAGUUACAAAGGAACGAAGUAAAUGAAGCGACCUGGAAAGGUCCGUCGAAGAAGGUAACAACCCUGUAGUUGAAACUUCGUUCCCUCUUGAGUGGAUCCUGAGUACGGCGGAACACGUGAAAUUCCGUCGGAAGCUGGGAGGACCAUCUCCCAAGGCUAAAUACUACCUAGUGACCGAUAGUGAACCAGUACCGUGAGGGAAAGGUGAAAAGCACCCCGGAAGGGGAGUGAAAGAGAUCCUGAAACCGUGUGCCUACAAGUAGUCAGAGCCCGUUAAUGGGUGAUGGCGUGCCUUUUGUAGAAUGAACCGGCGAGUUACGAUCCCAUGCAAGGUUAAGCUGAUAAGGCGGAGCCGUAGCGAAAGCGAGUCUGAAUAGGGCGUUUAGUAUGUGGUUGUAGACCCGAAACCAGGUGAUCUACCCAUGUCCAGGGUGAAGUUCAGGUAACACUGAAUGGAGGCCCGAACCCACGCACGUUGAAAAGUGCGGGGAUGAGGUGUGGGUAGCGGAGAAAUUCCAAUCGAACCUGGAGAUAGCUGGUUCUCUCCGAAAUAGCUUUAGGGCUAGCCUCAUGUUGUGAGAGUCUUGGAGGUAGAGCACUGAUUGGACUAGGGGCCCCCAACGGGUUACCGAAUUCAGUCAAACUCCGAAUGCCAAAGACUUAUCCAUGGGAGUCAGACUGCGAGUGAUAAGAUCCGUAGUCAAAAGGGAAACAGCCCAGACCACCAGCUAAGGUCCCCAAGUAUACGUUAAGUGGAAAAGGAUGUGGAGUUGCUUAGACAACCAGGAUGUUGGCUUAGAAGCAGCCACCAUUUAAAGAGUGCGUAAUAGCUCACUGGUCGAGUGACUCUGCGCCGAAAAUGUACCGGGGCUAAACGUAUCACCGAAGCUGUGGAUUGACAUCUUUGAUGUCAGUGGUAGGAGAGCGUUCUAAGUGCAGCGAAGUCAGACCGUAAGGACUGGUGGAGCGCUUAGAAGUGAGAAUGCCGGUAUGAGUAGCGAAAGACAAGUGAGAAUCUUGUCCACCGAAUGCCUAAGGUUUCCUGAGGAAGGCUCGUCCGCUCAGGGUUAGUCGGGACCUAAGCCGAGGCUGAAAAGCGUAGGCGAUGGCCAACAGGUUGAUAUUCCUGUACCACCUCCCCGCCGUUUGAGUAAUGGGGGGACGCAGUAGGAUAGGGUAAGCGCGCUGCUGGAUAUGCGCGUUCAAGCAGUUAGGCUGAUGAGUAGGCAAAUCCGCUCAUCAUAAAGGCUGAGCUGUGAUGACGAGGGAAUUAUAGUACCGAAGUUCCUGAUUCCACACUGCCAAGAAAAGCCUCUAGCGAGGCGGGAGGUGCCCGUACCGCAAACCGACACAGGUAGGCGAGGAGAGAAUCCUAAGGUGAUCGAGAGAACUCUCGUUAAGGAACUCGGCAAAAUGACCCCGUAACUUCGGGAGAAGGGGUGCUCUGGUAGGGUGUAUAGCCCGAGAGAGCCGCAGUGAAUAGGCCCAGGCGACUGUUUAGCAAAAACACAGGUCUCUGCGAAGCCGCAAGGCGAAGUAUAGGGGCUGACGCCUGCCCGGUGCUGGAAGGUUAAGAGGAGGGGUUAUCCUUUGGGAGAAGCUCUGAAUCGAAGCCCCAGUAAACGGCGGCCGUAACUAUAACGGUCCUAAGGUAGCGAAAUUCCUUGUCGGGUAAGUUCCGACCCGCACGAAAGGCGUAACGAUCUGGGCACUGUCUCAACGAGAGACUCGGUGAAAUUAUAGUACCUGUGAAGAUGCAGGUUACCCGCGACAGGACGGAAAGACCCCGUGGAGCUUUACUGUAGCCUGAUAUUGAAUUUUGGUACAGCUUGUACAGGAUAGGUAGGAGCCUGAGAAGCCGGAGCGCUAGCUUCGGUGGAGGCGUCGGUGGGAUACUACCCUGGCUGUAUUGAAAUUCUAACCCGCGGCCCUGAUCGGGCCGGGAGACAGUGUCAGGUGGGCAGUUUGACUGGGGCGGUCGCCUCCUAAAAUGUAACGGAGGCGCCCAAAGGUUCCCUCAGAAUGGUUGGAAAUCAUUCGUAGAGUGUAAAGGCACAAGGGAGCUUGACUGCGAGACCUACAAGUCGAGCAGGGACGAAAGUCGGGCUUAGUGAUCCGGUGGUUCCGCAUGGAAGGGCCAUCGCUCAACGGAUAAAAGCUACCCCGGGGAUAACAGGCUUAUCUCCCCCAAGAGUCCACAUCGACGGGGAGGUUUGGCACCUCGAUGUCGGCUCAUCGCAUCCUGGGGCUGUAGUCGGUCCCAAGGGUUGGGCUGUUCGCCCAUUAAAGCGGUACGCGAGCUGGGUUCAGAACGUCGUGAGACAGUUCGGUCCCUAUCCGUCGUGGGCGUAGGAAAUUUGAGAGGAGCUGUCCUUAGUACGAGAGGACCGGGAUGGACACACCGCUGGUGUACCAGUUGUCUUGCCAAAGGCAUCGCUGGGUAGCUAUGUGUGGACGGGAUAAGUGCUGAAAGCAUCUAAGCAUGAAGCCCCCCUCAAGAUGAGAUUUCCCAUAGCGCAAGCUAGUAAGAUCCCUGAAAGAUGAUCAGGUUGAUAGGUCAGAGGUGGAAGCGUGGCGACAUGUGUAGCUGACUGAUACUAAUCGAUCGAGGACUUAACCAA
This 2936-nucleotide ribosomal RNA is filed under the name Priestia megaterium. Its description in RNAcentral is "23S ribosomal RNA". It matches the Rfam family "Bacterial large subunit ribosomal RNA". RNAcentral also lists the same sequence under 5 other names. The record is from RNAcentral. Lineage: Bacteria; Bacillati; Bacillota; Bacilli; Caryophanales; Bacillaceae.